UACGGAGGGUGCAAGCGUUAUCCGGAUUCACUGGGUUUAAAGGGUGCGUAGGUGGGUCUGUAAGUCAGUGGUGAAAUCUCCGGGCUUAACCCGGAAACUGCCAUUGAUACUAUAGGUCUUGAAUUAUCUGGAGGUCAGCGGAAUAUGUCAUGUAGCGGUGAAAUGCGUAGAUAUCGAGAGGAACACCUGCGGCGAAGGCGGGUUGCUGGGCUGAUACUGACGCUGAGGCGCGAAAGCCAGGGGAGCGAACGGG
This 253-nucleotide ribosomal RNA is filed under the name uncultured bacterium. Its description in RNAcentral is "partial 16S ribosomal RNA". It matches the Rfam family "Bacterial small subunit ribosomal RNA", at positions 524 to 776 of the family's 1533-position model. The record is from RNAcentral.